Non-coding RNA from Heterocephalus glaber (naked mole-rat), 72 nucleotides. The record is from Rfam. NCBI's taxonomy places the organism in Eukaryota, Metazoa, Chordata, Mammalia, Rodentia, Bathyergidae.
GGGGGUGUAGCUCAGUGGUAGAGCGCGUGCUUAGCAUGCACGAGGCCCUGGGUUCGAUCCCCAGCACCUCCA